CAGUGGGGAAUCUUGCACAAUGGAGGAAACUCUGAUGCAGCGAUGCCGCGUGAGUGAAGAAGGCCUUUGGGUUGUAAAGCUCUUUUGUAGGGGAAGAUAAUGACUGUACCCUAAGAAUAAGGUCCGGCUAACUUCGUGCCAGCAGCCGCGGUAAUACGAAGGGACCUAGCGUAGUUCGGAAUUACUGGGCGUAAAGCGCGCGUAGGCCGUUGAGUUAGUUAAUUGUGAAAUCCCAAAGCUUAACUUUGGAACUGCAAUUAAAACUGCUCGACUAGAGUUUGAUAGAGGAAAGCGGAAUACAUAGUGUAGAGGUGAAAUUCGUAGAUAUUAUGUAGAACACCAGUUGCGAAGGCGGCUUUCUGGAUCAACACUGACGCUGAGGCGCGAAAGUAUGGGUAGCAAAGAGGAUUAGAUACCC
RNAcentral lists this ribosomal RNA (418 nucleotides) under alpha proteobacterium SCGC AAA024-N17. RNAcentral describes it as "bacterial SSU rRNA". It matches the Rfam family "Bacterial small subunit ribosomal RNA", at positions 352 to 787 of the family's 1533-position model. Lineage: Bacteria; Pseudomonadati; Pseudomonadota; Alphaproteobacteria. The record is from RNAcentral. RNAcentral also lists the same sequence under 2 other names.